Rhodamnia argentea is the source of this 1799-nucleotide long non-coding RNA. RefSeq lists it as uncharacterized. The transcript is spliced from 3 exons. The record is from RefSeq and is a predicted model, not a curated record. NCBI's taxonomy places the organism in Eukaryota, Viridiplantae, Streptophyta, Magnoliopsida, Myrtales, Myrtaceae.
CAGCCUUGUGUAAUUCCUCUGGGCUUUGGCUCUUUGGUUUCUCAAUCUAGUUUUCGCAUUUUUAUUGUUGCUUCUGUACUGAAAAUGUGUAUGAACUUCUUGGUUUCUGCAGGAGCAAGCCCUUGCAGAUCUGGGUGCUGUUGAUGCUGCUUGUUAUGUUCAAUUCGUGCUUAGGCAUGAUACUGUCAUUGCAUCGUUUUAUGUUGAUCUUUGUUGUGCCCUCUCCUUAUUCAGUUAUGCCUCUGGGGAAUAGGGCAUUCUUUAGAAAUCGUUGUCAUGAAGGUUAGAUGUUCUAUGGCCACGAUACUAGUACUGACUGCCUGUCGGUUUCGUUGAUAAUGCUCGCAUCAAUUUCAUAUCUUUCCCGCCAUACUUUGCUUUAAAGAUUUCAAUUUCUCGAAAAUUGCAUGGUUUUGAGUCCUGCCAAAUACGACUAAUUAUCUGGUCUUUUGCAAUUUCUUCUGUUGAACAUAAAUUUGGUUCCUUGUUAUUUAACCAAAAGGACGACUCACAUGACUAUUUUUUUUGGUAUUGGCAUCCAACUUGCAGUGGUUAACGGUCAUGGAAAACGUCCGCAAGAUGAGGACAUUCAGUCAAAUGUCCUUGAGAUUGUUGGCUCAAAUAUUCAGUCCACAUACAUCACGUGCCCAGCAGAUCCAGCUGCAACACUUGGCAUAAAACUGCCAUUCUUGGUUAUGAUUUUAAAGAAUCUGAAAAAAUACUUCACCUUUGAGAUCCAAGUUCUGGAUGACAAGAACGUGAGGCGGCUCUUCCGUGCUUCUAAUUUUCAAGUGUGUAAGUUUGCCCGUAUUGCUAUAUUUGUUUUCUGGUUUGGACAACUUGUUACUAGAUUUUAUUGGCCCUAAAAGUGUAACAGAUAGACAGAUCAUGCCAUAUGGCCAUAGGUGGAAAUUUCUAGCCUGUAGUGGUCCUUGGACUUGAAAUGAGAUUUCAUCUGGCAUUUAGAAACCGAUGGUUCUGCAGUUUCAGUUGUUUUGACUACACUGUGUAAUCGCAAUGCUGGAGGAAAAGAGACUUGCAAAAGGAAAAUCAUGGAUCUCUCAAUCCCAAGCUGUGUUGUUAAUGAAAUGGCAAGGGAGCUUUUAGCUAUCAAUAGAUUUGAACCACCUAUGCAGGAUCAUAUUCAUGCGAACUCUACAGCCUGUAAUUGGCUUCAUGCUGAUUCAUUGCUCAUACCGAGAUAACUGUCGGUGGAGAUUGGAGGGACAACUUGAUAUUUAUUUACUUACUUUCUGAAUCAGCUGGAUAAGAAGCCCUUUCUCCCUAAUGGAAUGGGAAAUGGUUUUAGUAUGCACUCCAUUUUAUGACAUGUUGCAUAUAACACCCUCUCCUUCUAUAAAGUUCUAUAUGAUUCAUGUACACUAAGGAAUUGGCAUUGCAUGUAACCUUUCGGUCUUGCAUUGCGGGCUGUGACUAGGGUCGAGCCAUAUAUUUGCACCAUGCCGUUGAUGUUGGAUGAAGGAUGGAAUCAGAUCCAGUUAAAUCUCACUGAUUUGACGGGGAGAGCAUACGGAACCAACUAUGUCAAGACAUUGAGAGUACAGGUACAUGCAAACUGCCGUCUAAGAAGAAUCUAUUUCUCGGACCACCUUUAAUCCGAAGAGGAACUUCCACCAGAGUUUAAACUCUAUCUUCCCAUGCAGAAAAGUUAGGAACUUUGGGCGAAAGGUCUCCUGAUCGGUUACUCGCGACACAAGCGGGACCUCUUGAAUCAUGUGAUGCGUAUGGUUAUCCCGUCGCAUGUUACACGGCUGUGAACUUGAUGGACUGUGGUCAAA